GACGAACGCUGGCGGCGUGCUUAACACAUGCAAGUCGAACGGAAAGGCCCUGCUUUUGUGGGGUGCUCGAGUGGCGAACGGGUGAGUAACACGUGAGUAACCUGCCCUUGACUUUGGGAUAACUUCAGGAAACUGGGGCUAAUACCGGAUAGGAGCUCCUGCUGCAUGGUGGGGGUUGGAAAGUUUCGGCGGUUGGGGAUGGACUCGCGGCUUAUCAGCUUGUUGGUGGGGUAGUGGCUUACCAAGGCUUUGACGGGUAGCCGGCCUGAGAGGGUGACCGGCCACAUUGGGACUGAGAUACGGCCCAGACUCCUACGGGAGGCAGCAGUGGGGAAUAUUGCACAAUGGGCGGGAGCCUGAUGCAGCAACGCCGCGUGCGGGAUGACGGCCUUCGGGUUGUAACCCGCUUUCGCCUGUGACGAAGCGUGAGUGACGGUAAUGGGUAAAGAAGCACCGGCUAACUACGUG
RNAcentral lists this ribosomal RNA (468 nucleotides) under uncultured bacterium. Its description in RNAcentral is "partial 16S ribosomal RNA". It matches the Rfam family "Bacterial small subunit ribosomal RNA", at positions 28 to 507 of the family's 1533-position model. The record is from RNAcentral.